Molecule: ribosomal RNA, 406 nt
Filed under: uncultured bacterium
Lineage: Bacteria
Description: partial 16S ribosomal RNA
Rfam family: Bacterial small subunit ribosomal RNA
Source: RNAcentral
AUUGAACGCUGGCGGCAGGCCUAACACAUGCAAGUCGAACGAGUGGUGGACGGGUGAGUAAUGUCUGGGACACUGCCUGAUGGAGGGGGAUAACUACUGGAAACGGUCGCUAAUACCGCAUACCAUCCGACGGGCCGAGAUGGGAUUAGCUUGUUGGUGGGGUAACGGCUCACCAAGGAGACGAUCCCUAGCUGGUCUGAGAGGCUGACCAGACACAAUGGAACUGAGACACGGUCCAUACUCCUACGGGAGGCAGCAGUGGGGAAUUUUGCACAAUGGGCGCAAGCCUGAUGCAGCCAUGCCGCGUAUAUGAAGAAGGCCUUCGGGUUGUAAAGUACUUUCAGCGUAGAGGCGUUACCCGCAGAAGAAGCACCGGCUAACUCCGUGCCAGCAGCCGCGGUAAUAC